GACGAACGCUGGCGGCGUGCUUAACACAUGCAAGUCGAACGGUGACGAGGAGCUUGCUCCUCUGAUCAGUGGCGAACGGGUGAGUAACACGUGAGUAUCCUGCCCCAGACUCUGGGAUAACAGUUGGAAACAGCUGCUAAUACCGGAUACGAGACGGAGAGGCAUCUCUACCGUCUGGAAAGUUUUUCGGUCUGGGAUGGACUCGCGGCCUAUCAGCUUGUUGGUGAGGUAAUGGCUCACCAAGGCGACGACGGGUAGCCGGCCUGAGAGGGCGACCGGCCACACUGGGACUGAGACACGGCCCAGACUCCUACGGGAGGCAGCAGUGGGGAAUAUUGCACAAUGGGCAAAGCCUGAUGCAGCGACGCCGCGUGAGGGAUGACGGCC
This 387-nucleotide ribosomal RNA is filed under the name uncultured bacterium. RNAcentral describes it as "bacterial SSU rRNA". It matches the Rfam family "Bacterial small subunit ribosomal RNA", at positions 28 to 416 of the family's 1533-position model. The record is from RNAcentral.